This 497-nucleotide ribosomal RNA is filed under the name uncultured bacterium. RNAcentral's name for it is "partial 16S ribosomal RNA". It matches the Rfam family "Bacterial small subunit ribosomal RNA", at positions 28 to 507 of the family's 1533-position model. The record is from RNAcentral.
GAUGAACGCUGGCGGCGUGCCUAAUACAUGCAAGUCGAGCGAACGGACGAGAAGCUUGCUUGUCUGAUGUUAGCGGCGGACGGGUGAGUAACUUGUGGAUAACCUACCUAUAAGACUGGGAUAACUUCGGGAGACCGGAGCUAAUACCGGAUAAUAUUUUGAACUGCAUGGUUCAAAAGUGAAAGACGGUCUUGCUGUCACUUAUAGAUGGAUCCGCGCUGCAUUAGCUAGUUGGUAAGGUAACGGCUUACCAAGGCAACGAUGCAUAGCCGACCUGAGAGGGUGAUCGGACACACUGGCACUGAGACACAGUCCCGACUCCUACGGGAGGCAGCAGUACGGAAUCCUCCGCGAUGCGCGAAAGCCUAACGGUGCAACGUGGCGUGAGUGCUGAAGGUCUUCUGAUCCUAGAACUCUGUUAUUCGGGAAGUACAUAUGUGUAAGUAACUGUGCACAUCUUGACGGUACCUAAUCAGAAAGCCACGGCUAACUACGUG